GGGCGCGUAGCUCAGCUGGGAGAGCGCUUGGGUCACAACCAAGAUGUCGGCGGUUCAAUCCCGUCCGCGCCCA
RNAcentral lists this transfer RNA (73 nucleotides) under Treponemataceae bacterium. RNAcentral's name for it is "tRNA-Val". It matches the Rfam family "tRNA". Rfam says of the family: Transfer RNA (tRNA) molecules are approximately 80 nucleotides in length. Lineage: Bacteria; Pseudomonadati; Spirochaetota; Spirochaetia; Treponematales; Treponemataceae. The record is from RNAcentral.